AGUGAACGCUGGCGGUAGGCCUAACACAUGCAAGUCGAACGGCAGCACAGUAAGAGCUUGCUCUUACGGGUGGCGAGUGGCGGACAGGUGAGGAAUACAUCGGAAUCUACUUUUUCGUGGGGGAUAACGUAGGGAAACUUACGCUAAUACCGCAUACGACCUACGGGUGAAAGCAGGGGAUCUUCGGACCUUGCGCGAUUGAAUGAGCCGAUGUCGGAUUAGCUAGUUGGCGGGGUAAAGGCCCACCAAGGCGACGAUCCGUAGCUGGUCUGAGAGGAUGAUCAGCCACACUGGAACUGAGACACGGUCCAGACUCCUACGGGAGGCAGCAGUGGGGAAUAUUGGACAAUGGGCGCAAGCCUGAUCCAGCCAUACCGCGUGGGUGAAGAGGGCCUUCGGGUUGUAAAGCCCUUUUGUUGGGAAAGAAGAGCAGCAGGUUAAUACCCCGCUGUUCUGACGGUACCCAAAGAAUAAGCACCGGCGAACUUCGU
This 491-nucleotide ribosomal RNA is filed under the name uncultured bacterium. RNAcentral describes it as "partial 16S ribosomal RNA". It matches the Rfam family "Bacterial small subunit ribosomal RNA", at positions 29 to 506 of the family's 1533-position model. The record is from RNAcentral.